GACGAACGCUGGCGGCGUGCUUAACACAUGCAAGUCGAACGGUGAAGCUCCAGCUUGCUGGAGUGGAUCAGUGGCGAACGGGUGAGUAACACGUGAGCAACCUGCCCCUGACUCUGGAAUAAGCGCUGGAAACGGCGUCUAAUACUGGAUACGAGAAGGGUCCGCAUGGGCACUUUCUGGAAAGUUUUUCGGUUGGGGAUGGGCUCGCGGCCUAUCAGCUUGUUGGUGAGGUAAUGGCUCACCAGGGCGACGACGGGUAGCCGGCCUGAGAGGGCGACCGGCCACACUGGGACUGAGACACGGCCCAGACUCCUACGGGAGGCAGCAGUGGGGAAUAUUGCACAAUGGGCGAAAGCCUGAUGCAGCGACGCCGCGUGAGGGAUGACGGCCUUCGGGUUGUAAACCUCUUUCAGCAGGGAAGAAGCGAAAGUGACGGUACCUGCAGAAGAAGCACCGGCUAACUACGUG
This 468-nucleotide ribosomal RNA is filed under the name uncultured bacterium. RNAcentral describes it as "partial 16S ribosomal RNA". It matches the Rfam family "Bacterial small subunit ribosomal RNA", at positions 28 to 507 of the family's 1533-position model. The record is from RNAcentral.